RNAcentral lists this transfer RNA (74 nucleotides) under Microbacterium phage A3Wally. RNAcentral's name for it is "tRNA-Pro". It matches the Rfam family "tRNA". From Rfam's summary of the family: Transfer RNA (tRNA) molecules are approximately 80 nucleotides in length. Their secondary structure includes four short double-helical elements and three loops (D, anti-codon, and T loops). The record is from RNAcentral. Lineage: Duplodnaviria; Heunggongvirae; Uroviricota; Caudoviricetes.
GCCGAUAUAGCUCAAUGGACAGAGCAGCAGCUUCCGAGGCUGAAGGUUCCGGGUUCGAAUCCCGGUGUUGGCAC